UACAGAGGUCCCAAGCGUUGUUCGGAAUUACUGGGCGUAAAGGGAGCGUAGGCGGGUUCUUAAGUUAGGUGUUUAAUCCCGGGGCCCAACCCCGGACCGGCACUUAAAACUGGGAAUCUUGAAUAGUGGAGAGGUCAGUGGAAUUGGGGGUGUAGCGGUGGAAUGCGUAGAGAUCCCCAAGAACACCAGUUGCGAAGGCGGCUGACUGGACACAUAUUGACGCUGAGGCUCGAAAGCAUGGGGAGCAAACAGG
RNAcentral lists this ribosomal RNA (253 nucleotides) under uncultured bacterium. Its description in RNAcentral is "partial 16S ribosomal RNA". It matches the Rfam family "Bacterial small subunit ribosomal RNA", at positions 524 to 776 of the family's 1533-position model. The record is from RNAcentral.